Cyprinus carpio (common carp) is the source of this 598-nucleotide long non-coding RNA. The record is from Ensembl. NCBI's taxonomy places the organism in Eukaryota, Metazoa, Chordata, Actinopteri, Cypriniformes, Cyprinidae.
GUGACAUUCACCAUCACUCUCUGUGUGAUGAAAUACAUCAGUGUGUUAGACUGCACUGUAACAGGUGAAGAUGUGCAUCAUAUUAAACCACAGUCUGUCUCUGUAGGGUCGUGUGUGACUGUAGAUGUGUGUCUGCGUGCAGGUAUCAGCUGGAGAUCAGUGGAAGCGCAGCAGAGCCCAAGAACAGCACGCUGAGAAGAUCUUCAGACAGCAGAAGCUUCCAGAAUCCAGUCCAGACACAUCUGGAGUUCCCUGAGCACAGCGGCAGCGCCUCACGCAGAUCCAUGACUAUAGAGGAGGAGGGAUCCAGUGUUCGUAAUAGCUUGAAGAGCCACUACAAAACCUUCCACAAACUCUUCCCUGAGGUCCCUGAGACCGAGGAUCUGGAACACGGUGAGUCUCCGCUGCCUAAUGAUCAGCUUUACACAAUCUCCUUAACACCUCAGGUAUUUCUCACCGUCUGAGAUGAGAUGGAGAGCAAAUAUUGUCUUCAGUGUCUCUCCUGAGCAAAAGACGUCAGUAGUCUCAGAUGUGGCUCCUCAAGUGCAUCAGAAGAUUUCACAAUAAAGUACUCAUCUGUUUUAAAUACUGAUAAUAA